AGCAGCCGCGGUAAUUCCAGCUCCAAUAGCGUAUAUUAAAGUUGUUGCAGUUAAAAAGCUCGUAGUUGAACCUUAGGCCCGUGCGGGCGGUCCGUCCUCAGGGCGAGCACUGCCUCGUCGCGGGUCUCACCUUCUGGCGAGCGUGGAUGCCAUUUAUUUGGUGUCUGCGGGAACCAGGACCUUUACCUUGAAAAAAUUAGAGUGCUCAAAGCGGGCUCAGACGCUUGAAUACAUUAGCAUGGAAUAAUGAAAUAGGACGAUGGUUCUAUUUUGUUGGUUUCCGGGACCGUCGUAAUGAUUAAUAGGGAUAGUUGGGGGCAUUCGUAUUCAAUUGUCAGAGGUGAAAUUCUUGGAUUUAUUGAAGACGAACUACUGCGAAAGCAUUUGCCAAGGAUGUUUUCAUUAAUCAAGAACGAAAGUUGGGGGAUCGAAGACGAUCAGAUACCGUCGUAGUCUCAACCAUAAACUAUGCCGACUGGGAAUCGGGCGAUGUUAUUUUUCGUGACUCGCUCGGCGCCCC
This 520-nucleotide ribosomal RNA is filed under the name uncultured Paraglomus. RNAcentral's name for it is "SSU rRNA". It matches the Rfam family "Eukaryotic small subunit ribosomal RNA", at positions 569 to 1089 of the family's 1831-position model. The record is from RNAcentral. Lineage: Eukaryota; Fungi; Glomeromycota; Glomeromycetes; Paraglomerales; Paraglomeraceae.